Pseudophryne corroboree (corroboree frog) is the source of this 700-nucleotide long non-coding RNA. RefSeq lists it as uncharacterized. The transcript has 4 exons. The record is from RefSeq and is a predicted model, not a curated record. NCBI's taxonomy places the organism in Eukaryota, Metazoa, Chordata, Amphibia, Anura, Myobatrachidae.
GUCACAGCAGUACCAAGGAUAUACAGGGAUGUACCCCACUUACCAGAUGCCUCCACCACCACCGGCCUCAACAUCUACACCAGCACGGCCAACAAGGCCAAUCCAAUGCACUCAACAGCUGCCAAGGACACUGUCACCACCACCGGAGGAAGAGGGUCAGGACAGCCCCCACACACGAUAAUAUUCUUCAGAGAGUACUCUCUUGGGGAGGUCAGAACUUGAUUUUAGGAGGUGACUUCAACACGGUCGUCGAUCCGUCCAUAGACAGAUCAGGGGGAUGGUUGAUAAAGAGUCGUGGACAGCGUUGUUCGUGUUGUGCUUACAAAGAAAAUAUUAUCCUUAAAAGGUCCCACUGGAGAACACACGAGUCCUCUCUUCAAAUUCAAUAUCUUAUUUCGGCUCAAGUACCACUUAACUGUUCAAUCAAUAGCUUAUAAAUAAUUUAUCAUUUAUCUAGCAGGUUAUACACUCCCGUCUAACCUGCUGCAUCAAAAUGCCUAUGGUGACACCACUGUUAGACAUCUAUACAGAAGUUGGAUUAACACCAAAUUAGGCAACAAACCACUUAUCUUACUGGUGCUAAGAUUGAUAUACGGGAUACCACUUUAGGAGAUUUUAGCCAUCUACUUAUUGUCAGUAAACAUAUGCAAGGCUACUCCUGCUAUUGUACAAAAUAAUUUUUCACCUUGGCAGUUUCUAC